Molecule: long non-coding RNA, 795 nt
Filed under: Olea europaea subsp. europaea
Lineage: Eukaryota; Viridiplantae; Streptophyta; Magnoliopsida; Lamiales; Oleaceae
Source: RNAcentral
CUUUAAAUGGCACAAUGUAUGAGCUUUAUAGUUGAAAUUAAUGAACAAGAAUCGUUGGAUGAAAAGACACGUGGCCUCAUCCAUAUGGUCGAGGCAUCUUAUCUUGGCAUUUAAUGUUAUGGCCUUGUUGCAGCCCUAGGCCUAAAGCUUACUUAGACUUGACCUAUUGACUUGGUAGGGUGAUUGUUCAAGUGAAUUCUCACAUUACUUUUCACAUAAGAUUUUGUAUAGAAGAUCUUUUGUAGAGCCUCUACCUACUUUGCCUCAUUCAUGAUAGUUCAGCCUCUUCAUGGGUGUUGAACAAAAUUUUUAAAUCGACAAAAUGAUGUGAAGUGCGGGCUUAGGUUCACUUGUUGUACAGUCACCACAUGGUCAUACAUGGAACCUCACUAGAAGAAGCAUAGCAAUAGUCCUCCUAAGUGCAUGUAGGAAUUUUCAUAUAAUGUGUGGCCUUUCGGGUUGAGAUGUACGUUUACUUUGCAUGCUGCAUGUUCUGUUCUUUGAAGAGGGAGUGCUCGAUUGCUAGGUCAUGAGAGUCGAAUGCUCGUUGUCGCGGUUGUUCUACGAUGCAAGAGAUGCCUUCAAAAAAUGAGCUUGAAGAAUUCUUUUUCGUUGCCCCAAAAAAAAAAAAAAAAAAAAACUCUAGAAAUCAUUUAUUGGCAAGUAACUCCUCAUGUCUCCGGCAAGCUUCUCAUCUAAAAGCUUAAAAACAAUUACAUGUAUUCAUUAAAUCUUACCUUAGUUUAUCAAAAUUGAGUCAAAAUUCUCUCUUGUGCACAAUUUUGAUAAAUGCAG